UACGAAGGGGGCGAGCGUUGUUCGGAUUUACUGGGCGUAAAGGGCGCGCAGGCGGCUUAUUUUGUCAGGCGUGAAAGCCCCGGGCUUAACCUGGGAACUGCGUUUGAUACGGAUGGGCUAGAGUUCGGGAGAGGAGAGUGGAAUUCCCAGUGUAGAGGUGAAAUUCGUAGAUAUUGGGAAGAGCACCGGUGGCGAAGGCGGCUCUCUGGACCGAUACUGACGCUGAGGCGCGAAAGCGUGGGGAGCAAACAGG
RNAcentral lists this ribosomal RNA (253 nucleotides) under uncultured bacterium. RNAcentral describes it as "partial 16S ribosomal RNA". It matches the Rfam family "Bacterial small subunit ribosomal RNA", at positions 524 to 776 of the family's 1533-position model. The record is from RNAcentral.